Molecule: long non-coding RNA, 149 nt
Filed under: Jaculus jaculus (lesser Egyptian jerboa)
Lineage: Eukaryota; Metazoa; Chordata; Mammalia; Rodentia; Dipodidae
Description: Taurine upregulated 1 conserved region 1 (ENSJJAG00000004585.1)
Rfam family: Taurine upregulated gene 1 conserved region 1
About the family: TUG1 (taurine upregulated gene 1) is a long non-coding RNA expressed in retina and brain. It was first identified in a screen for genes upregulated by in developing retinal cells in response to taurine.
Source: RNAcentral
UUUUUUUUUCGUUGUCAGCUGUUUUUAUCAAAUUGCCGGCCUUUAUUCCAGUAAACACUUUAUAAAAAAAGUUUCAACAGUUGGAUUUAAAAUGUCAUCAUUGUAUGGAGUAGUGCUUAACAAGUGGUACAGCUCUAAGGAAGUGAACA